GAUUUAAGGCUGCAAGGAAGGAGUCCUGGGAGCAUGGCUUUCCCUGAGCCAAAGCCGCGGCCUCCAGAGCUGCCGCAGAAACGGUUGAAGACGCUGGACUGCGGGCAGGGGGCAGUGCGAGCCGUACGAUUUAAUGGUGAGCGCCUUCGUCUUCAUUCCGGGUCCUCCUCCCGCCUCCUGAGAUCGACGGCCCAGUAACCCCCGCCUGGUGUUCCCCAGUGGAUGGCAAUUACUGCCUGACGUGCGGCAGUGACAAGACGCUGAAGCUGUGGAACCCGCUUCGGGGGACGCUGCUGCGGACGUACAGCGGCCACGGCUACGAGGUGCUGGAUGCGGCCGGCUCCUUUGACAACAGUAGUCUCUGCUCCGGCGGCGGGGACAAGGCGGUGGUUCUGUGGGAUGUGGCAUCAGGGCAGGUCGUGCGCAAAUUCCGGGGCCACGCAGGGUCCUCCAAAGUCCAGCCUCCUCUGAGUGGCAAUAACUUUCUCAGAAGGUGAACACGGUGCAGUUUAAUGAAGAGGCCACAGUUAUCCUGUCCGUAUCCGCUGUUGGGAUUGCCGCUCACGGAGGCCUGAGCCAGUGCAGACGCUGGAUG
This 595-nucleotide small RNA is filed under the name Pan troglodytes (chimpanzee). RNAcentral's name for it is "retained intron". The record is from RNAcentral. Lineage: Eukaryota; Metazoa; Chordata; Mammalia; Primates; Hominidae.